CCGAGCCACUGUUUGUCCAUAGGCUUUUAAAUGCAUCAAAUAGGGUUUAGAUCAAAAUUAGACUUUGAUUAUAACUUAAAGAAACCUCUCGAACCAUCCGAUCAAGAUUGUAACAUCCCACGACCGUCUAAUCAUGCAAUCACCUAUGAGAAAUGCCUCCGAAAUGCAUUCGAUCCAUGGUGGACCAUGCAAAAUCGGGUGGAAAAUGCCCGAUUGGUCCAUAAUGGUCUCC
This 232-nucleotide long non-coding RNA is filed under the name Elaeis guineensis (African oil palm). RNAcentral describes it as "long non-coding RNA (EGUI_LNC029879)". The record is from RNAcentral. Lineage: Eukaryota; Viridiplantae; Streptophyta; Magnoliopsida; Arecales; Arecaceae.